Molecule: ribosomal RNA, 790 nt
Filed under: uncultured bacterium
Lineage: Bacteria
Description: bacterial SSU rRNA
Rfam family: Bacterial small subunit ribosomal RNA
Source: RNAcentral
GUCGAACGAGUUCUCGUUGAUGAUCGGUGCUUGCACCGAGAUUCAACAUGGAACGAGUGGCGGACGGGUGAGUAACACGUGGGUAACCUGCCCUUAAGUGGGGGAUAACAUUUGGAAACAGAUGCUAAUACCGCAUAGAUCCAAGAACCGCAUGGUUCUUGGCUGAAAGAUGGCGUAAGCUAUCGCUUUUGGAUGGACCCGCGGCGUAUUAGCUAGUUGGUGAGGUAACGGCUCACCAAGGCGAUGAUACGUAGCCGAACUGAGAGGUUGAUCGGCCACAUUGGGACUGAGACACGGCCCAAACUCCUACGGGAGGCAGCAGUAGGGAAUCUUCCACAAUGGACGCAAGUCUGAUGGAGCAACGCCGCGUGAGUGAAGAAGGCUUUCGGGUCGUAAAACUCUGUUGUUGGAGAAGAAUGGUCGGCAGAGUAACUGUUGUCGGCGUGACGGUAUCCAACCAGAAAGCCACGGCUAACUACGUGCCAGCAGCCGCGGUAAUACGUAGGUGGCAAGCGUUAUCCGGAUUUAUUGGGCGUAAAGCGAGCGCAGGCGGUUUUUUAAGUCUGAUGUGAAAGCCCUCGGCUUAACCGAGGAAGCGCAUCGGAAACUGGGAAACUUGAGUGCAGAAGAGGACAGUGGAACUCCAUGUGUAGCGGUGAAAUGCGUAGAUAUAUGGAAGAACACCAGUGGCGAAGGCGGCUGUCUGGUCUGUAACUGACGCUGAGGCUCGAAAGCAUGGGUAGCGAACAGGAUUAGAUACCCUGGUAGUCCAUGCCGUAAACGAUGAAUG